AAUAUUGUUCAAUGGACGCAAGUCUGAACCAGCCACGUCGCGUGAAGGAAUACGGCCCUACGGGUUAUAAACUUCUUUUGUAAGGGAAUAAAGUGUAGUACGUGUACUAUUUUGCUUGUACCUUACGAAUAAGGAUCGUCUAAAUCCGUGCCAGCAGCCGCGGUAAUAAGGAGGAUCCUGGCGUUAUCCGGAGUUAUUGGGUUUAAAGGGUGCACAGGCGGGAGAUUAAGUCGGCGGUGAAAUUUUGCAGCUCAACUGUAAAAGUGCCUUCGAAACUGGUUUCCUUGAGUGUAGAUGAAGUAGGCGGAAUUUGUGGUGUAGCGGUGAAAUGCAUAGAUAUCACGAGGAACUCCGAUUGCGCAGGCAGCUUACUAAACUACUACUGACGCUCAUGCACGAAGGCGUGGGGAUCAAACAGG
This 419-nucleotide ribosomal RNA is filed under the name uncultured bacterium. RNAcentral's name for it is "partial 16S ribosomal RNA". It matches the Rfam family "Bacterial small subunit ribosomal RNA", at positions 360 to 776 of the family's 1533-position model. The record is from RNAcentral.